Long non-coding RNA from Impatiens glandulifera, 992 nucleotides. RefSeq lists it as uncharacterized. NCBI's taxonomy places the organism in Eukaryota, Viridiplantae, Streptophyta, Magnoliopsida, Ericales, Balsaminaceae. The record is from RefSeq and is a predicted model, not a curated record. The transcript has 2 exons.
UGAUGCUGUUGGGGAAAUGAGGAUCAGGUGAAGAAGACUGCUGCUGUCAUCCGUGGAAGAAGAAGAAAAGAAACGACUAAGUGCUGUUUGGUUUCCACUUUUAAGAAGUUACAUGCCUUCAUCAUUGUUCUCGUCCAAGUACAUGGGAACGCACUCUUUCUGUUCGAAGAAAUGCCCGAGAGAGAUGUUCCAUUCUGGAAUGCAAUUAUGAACACAGACGGCCUCUUUAUGGAGGCAAUUAUACAUCUUGAACUAAUGGUAUGGCCGAAUUCAGUUACAUUUGUUUGUACUUUGUACUUCAUCUUGGUAAAUUCAUUCACAAGAACCCAAGCAAGAUAUAUGUCACUAAACCCACUUCAUUCAUCACGAGUGCACUGCCAGAAUUGAGAUGAUGUAGAACCAGAUGGAAUCAUAUUCGUUGGUUUGUUGAAUUUGUGCAUGCAUGGAGAACUGGUUGAACAAAUGUUGAUUGAAGAUUAUGGAAUCAACCAAUAGAUAGAGCACUACAGUUCUAAGAAAAUGUGGAUGUUGUAAAGAAGAUGCAUGAGUAUGUGGACUGAUGAGGUUGUGUGGCGUCUCUGCUCAAUGCGUGGCGAUUAAACUGGUUGAAUAUCCAUAAUUCUAAAGAUGAUACUGUUGUUACAGUAGCUAAAAUUAUAGCUAGUAAUUUAUGUAUGGGCAGUUAUGUGUGAGGCUUAGUAAUGUUGCAGAGUUAUGUGAGUUAGUAAUCUGCAAUACUGAGUAUACAUUAUACGACUCCUCAAUGUCGAAAUCGCGGUUCAGAAUCACAGGUCUUCAGGCUUCAAAGUUCUCCCUGUGACAUUUUGGAGGUUUAUGUGGAAGUUCAUCUUCAACUUCACAUUCAUCCCGAUUCAUCUCUCUCCUGGUAAUUAUUUGUUGAACUUACAAACUCUUAUUUCUUACAUGGUUAUUUGUUGCUGAAAUUUCUAAAUCGUACUGAAAUUAUUGAAAGUGGCUGAAAUGAUUAAUUA